UUGUUCGUCCUCGCAGUAAAGGCUGAGUGGGUUGUGGUGCUGAGGACACGACUGCAGCUGAGCUCCACCUGAAACACUCACUUCCUGUCAGGAGGAACAAGUAAACUGACCACAGGUGUUCUUACCUGCAGAGCCUCAAUGAUUCGAGCCAAACUAACGUUGGGAGGAGGACUGUCUCCGUCCACCGCACAGCGACACACAGGACACUGCAGCUGGCCAAGCAGGUCCAUUGUCAUGGAGCGCACACAACACCUGAACAGGAAUGAUUACAUCAUCUGAUCAGUCAUCUGGCUGGUCGGGCAGGUGAUCCUCUGAAGUUAACAGGUUAGCCCUGCAGCAUUGGUUACCAUGGAGAUCUGCCCCAGUAACCCUGGAGAUCUGCCCCUUGAAAGUGAACUAGCUUUGUGAUACCAGAGAAUCUGAGGUCAGCUCACAGAGGCCGGGACAACAGCUUUAUGCACAAAUUUUUCAUUAUUAUUAAUUCUCCUCUUUUUAGUGUAUUUAUAAGUUUAAAAUUCAACUACAUAAGAAAUGUUUCUGAUUGAAGUUGUUUUGUGA
Molecule: long non-coding RNA, 558 nt
Organism: Xiphias gladius (swordfish)
Lineage: Eukaryota; Metazoa; Chordata; Actinopteri; Istiophoriformes; Xiphiidae
Exons: 3
Source: RefSeq, a predicted model, not a curated record